RNAcentral lists this ribosomal RNA (27 nucleotides) under Prescottia aff. oligantha da Silva 861. Its description in RNAcentral is "26S ribosomal RNA". The record is from RNAcentral. Lineage: Eukaryota; Viridiplantae; Streptophyta; Magnoliopsida; Asparagales; Orchidaceae.
CGACCCCAGGAUGGGCGGGAUCGCCCG